UGCAGCUGCAGGGAGCUCUGACCAACAGGAGCGCUCCUGCUCCCACAUCCCGACGUUCUCAGCCCGACAUCCCAUGAUCCCCAGACUGUAUGUGAUGUCAUGGAAACAGGACAUGAAGAACCAGAGGCUCCUGAUGAAGAACGCAGCUCUGGCAGGGAUCCCUGUGGUUCCUCUUGAGGAGUCUUUGUGUUUCUGUGGACGGGAGCGUCUCUGCCACAGUCAGAACGCCAACCACUGCUGCUCCUCCUCCUCCUCCUCCUC
Seriola dumerili (greater amberjack) is the source of this 261-nucleotide long non-coding RNA. RefSeq lists it as uncharacterized. Lineage: Eukaryota; Metazoa; Chordata; Actinopteri; Carangiformes; Carangidae. The record is from RefSeq and is a predicted model, not a curated record. The transcript has 3 exons.